This 467-nucleotide ribosomal RNA is filed under the name uncultured bacterium. RNAcentral's name for it is "partial 16S ribosomal RNA". It matches the Rfam family "Bacterial small subunit ribosomal RNA", at positions 28 to 507 of the family's 1533-position model. The record is from RNAcentral.
GACGAACGCUGGCGGCGUGCUUAACACAUGCAAGUCGAACGAUGAUCAGGAGCUUGCUCCUGUUGUUAGUGGCGAACGGGUGAGUAACACGUGAGUAACCUGCCCCUGACUCUGGGAUAAGCGUUGGAAACGACGGCUAAUACUGGAUAUGAGCACUGGCCGCAUGUUCUGGUGGUGGAAAGAUUUUUUGGUUGGGGAUGGACUCGCGGCCUAUCAGCUUGUUGGUGAGGUAAUGGCUCACCAAGGCGACGACGGGUAGCCGGCCUGAGAGGGUGACCGGCCACACUGGGACUGAGAUACGGCCCAGACUCCUACGGGAGGCAGCAGUGGGGAAUAUUGCACAAUGGGCGGAAGCCUGAUGCAGCAACGCCGCGUGAGGGAUGACGGCCUUCGGGUUGUAAACCUCUUUUAGUAGGGAAGAAGCGAAAGUGACGGUACCUGCAGAAAAAGCACCGGCUAACUACGUG